UAUCGUUUAAUGGCCGCAGUACCCUGACUGUGCUAAGGUAGCGUGAUUCUUGUUUUCUUAAUUAGAAAUCUGUUCAAAGAAUGAAAUGAAGAGAAUCUAUUGUUUCCAUAUAAAGUGAACUUAAAUUGUUAGUGAAAAUUCUGACAAGCGUUUAAAAGACGAGAAGACCCCAUAAAACUUAAUUUGAUCUCUUUUUCAAGGGUUUAAAAUUUAAAUGGGGACUUUAGAGUAUAAUAAUAACUCAAAGACCUAUUUCUAUAAUAUUAGCGAAGCUACUUUGGGGAUAACAGGGUAAAGUAUUUAGAGAGUUCAUAUCGAUAAAUACAUCUACUAC
RNAcentral lists this ribosomal RNA (334 nucleotides) under Brachionus plicatilis. RNAcentral describes it as "partial large subunit ribosomal RNA". It matches the Rfam family "Bacterial large subunit ribosomal RNA", at positions 1918 to 2524 of the family's 2925-position model. The record is from RNAcentral. Lineage: Eukaryota; Metazoa; Rotifera; Eurotatoria; Ploima; Brachionidae.